UACAGAGGUCUCAAGCGUUGUUCGGAUUCAUUGGGCGUAAAGGGUGUGUAGGUGGCGCCGUAAGUCAGGUGUGAAAUUUCGGAGCUUAACCCCGAAACUGCAUUUGAUACUGCGGUGCUUGAGGACUGGAGAGGAGACUGGAAUUCCCGGUGUAGCAGUGAAAUGCGUAGAGAUCGGGAGGAACAUCAGUUGCGAAGGCGGCUCUCUGGACCAGCACUGACACUGAGGCACGAAAGCGUGGGGAGCAAACAGG
RNAcentral lists this ribosomal RNA (253 nucleotides) under uncultured bacterium. RNAcentral describes it as "partial 16S ribosomal RNA". It matches the Rfam family "Bacterial small subunit ribosomal RNA", at positions 524 to 776 of the family's 1533-position model. The record is from RNAcentral.